Long non-coding RNA from Numida meleagris (helmeted guineafowl), 1769 nucleotides. RefSeq lists it as uncharacterized. NCBI's taxonomy places the organism in Eukaryota, Metazoa, Chordata, Aves, Galliformes, Numididae. The transcript has 4 exons. The record is from RefSeq and is a predicted model, not a curated record.
UACAGAGGGUCAGCUAAGACUGUUUUCAACUCUUGGAGAUAAAAUUCGAAUUGGAAGUUUGGCUGUGUGUAUCUAGAAGACAAACAUUUUGGAUUUGUGCGUCAGGAUUCUGCCAGAGAGAAUCGGUUAUAUGGUGGUCCUGCAACUGGUCAGCUUUUCAUGGCUUAUAUCAAGAAAACUAUUUUCCCCAUUCUUGAAGUGGAAUUGAAUGAAAUCAGUCUCUCCAAGAAGCCGGAAUGCAACUGAGAAAUUUAAUCCUCUGAUGACACAAUUGCAAACAUGUGCUUUGUUAGGCCUGAUUUUUAUUUUUUAUUUAUUUUUUAUUUUUUAAUUUUUUAUUUUAUCACUGUCUUGCAGUAGAAAGCAUGCAAUUCUCAAGAUCAUAGUUUUGUGACAGAGAAACAAGAUGUGUUACACCCAAAGUGCUGUCUUGACCCUGCAUUCUUUAAUUCACAGUGGGAUUCAUAACGCUGCUAGUUGCUUUGGUUGGCUGAAGUUCUGAGAAGAAAAGCUUUCUACAAUUUGCAAGAACUGAGUCUUCACCAUAAAACAUGCUUUAAAAAAAAAAAUCAUCAUUUUCCAACAGAAAUCUAGUUUAUUGUAAGGUUUUGAUGGCUUGUAGUCAUAACACUGUGAGAGGUGACAGACAGUAGUGUGGAAUAUUUUCUUUUACAUGGAAAGAAAUAGCAUCUAAACUGAGCAGAAACCACUUCAGCUGCAUGUACCAAUGCUCAGAAUCUCUGUAGAUAUGACCAUUUGGUUUUAGGUUCUUCAAUGUCUUUCUAGCUGUAGUAUUAAGAAAAUGACUAGUAAUUUUUAAAACAUUGUGCUUUUCUUUUUCCUAGCAUGGUCAAUUAUAUAUACAUGUACGUAUAUUUUUUUUGUCAGCUAUCAUGCUUUCUUCUCUUACUAUUCUGAAUAAUUUAUUUCUGACUCAUGUCCAAACCCCUCAUUAUUUUAUUGCCUGGCUUACUUCCAAAACACUAGGGAUUCACAAAACUCUGUGCUACAUGAUGAUGAUAUGAGGUAACUAUCGUAUUCCUGCACCUGCUAAAAUAGCAGCUUGGUGACAAAAUUGCAAUGUAGUAAUUUGUUCUUUGAUUUCUUCUCCUAUAAUGGGCUCCUUGAUUGGAAUAUGUUACAAAUAUUUUCAGAAUAAAUAAUUUCUAAAACGUAUUGUUUAAUCUAACACUUCUUGCUCCAAAUAAAGGUAAAUGAUUUUAAGGAUUUGCCCAAGGAAAUGUUCUCUUGGCUCAGGUGCAAGCAGUUGUUGGCUUCUGAAACAUUCUUUGCCAAGUAAGUGGCAUGCAGCACAGAAGGAGUUGAACUGCAAAAGGUGGUUAGAGAUGGGGAUGGAGCUCUGCUGAAAUUCAAGGCAAGGCUGCAACAUUAUAAAGCAGGCUGGGGAACUUUGUGUACCAUUGGAAGCCUUGGGUCCUUAACCUAAUUAUGCUGUGAUCCCUCCAGAACUGACUAGCAAUGUAUUUAAUGACCCCUUAAUACUCCUGUACUGAGAAGUCUGUGCUGUGCUAUCACACAGACUCUUAAGAUAACUAUCUCAAGACCUGUAGGGAAUUACAUGAAUGGAAGAUAAUGCAUUAGAAAUGCAGAAAUUAGAGUUCUGUUAUGUUGUCUUUCAAAUAAAUGUGAAACUUGGGUUUGUAACGUUGUGGUAAUGGAAGCAGUUCUGUAAAGCUCCCAUCUCUGGAUUCUGCCAGCAGUAGCUGAUAAAGCACAGAAAUAAGUAAUUACACUAAUUAAAAGUAGAG